AGUGAACGCUGGCGGUAGGCCUAACACAUGCAAGUCGAACGGCAGCACAGUAAGAGCUUGCUCUUACGGGUGGCGAGUGGCGGACGGGUGAGGAAUACAUCGGAAUCUACUUUUUCGUGGGGGAUAACGUAGGGAAACUUACGCUAAUACCGCAUACGACCUACGGGUGAAAGCAGGGGAUCUUCGGACCUUGCGCGAUUGAAUGAGCCGAUGUCGGAUUAGCUAGUUGGCGGGGUAAAGGCCCACCAAGGCGACGAUCCGUAGCUGGUCUGAGAGGAUGAUAGGCCACACUGGAACUGAGACACGGUCCAGACUCCUACGGGAGGCAGCAGUGGGGAAUAUUGGACAAUGGGCGCAAGCCUGAUCCAGCCAUACCGCGUGGGUGAAGAAGGCCUUCGGGUUGUAAAGCCCUUUUGUUGGGAAAGAAAAGCAGCAGGUUAAUACCCCGCUGUUCUGACGGUACCCAAAGAAUAAGCACCGGCUAACUUCGUG
Molecule: ribosomal RNA, 492 nt
Filed under: uncultured bacterium
Lineage: Bacteria
Description: partial 16S ribosomal RNA
Rfam family: Bacterial small subunit ribosomal RNA
Source: RNAcentral